This 969-nucleotide ribosomal RNA is filed under the name Limosilactobacillus fermentum. Its description in RNAcentral is "bacterial SSU rRNA". It matches the Rfam family "Bacterial small subunit ribosomal RNA", at positions 62 to 1003 of the family's 1533-position model. The record is from RNAcentral. Lineage: Bacteria; Bacillati; Bacillota; Bacilli; Lactobacillales; Lactobacillaceae.
UUGAUUGAUGGUGCUUGCACCUGAUUGAUUUUGGUCGCCAACGAGUGGCGGACGGGUGAGUAACACGUAGGUAACCUGCCCAGAAGCGGGGGACAACAUUUGGAAACAGAUGCUAAUACCGCAUAACAACGUUGUUCGCAUGAACAACGCUUAAAAGAUGGCUUCUCGCUAUCACUUCUGGAUGGACCUGCGGUGCAUUAGCUUGUUGGUGGGGUAAUGGCCUACCAAGGCGAUGAUGCAUAGCCGAGUUGAGAGACUGAUCGGCCACAAUGGGACUGAGACACGGCCCAUACUCCUACGGGAGGCAGCAGUAGGGAAUCUUCCACAAUGGGCGCAAGCCUGAUGGAGCAACACCGCGUGAGUGAAGAAGGGUUUCGGCUCGUAAAGCUCUGUUGUUAAAGAAGAACACGUAUGAGAGUAACUGUUCAUACGUUGACGGUAUUUAACCAGAAAGUCACGGCUAACUACGUGCCAGCAGCCGCGGUAAUACGUAGGUGGCAAGCGUUAUCCGGAUUUAUUGGGCGUAAAGAGAGUGCAGGCGGUUUUCUAAGUCUGAUGUGAAAGCCUUCGGCUUAACCGGAGAAGUGCAUCGGAAACUGGAUAACUUGAGUGCAGAAGAGGGUAGUGGAACUCCAUGUGUAGCGGUGGAAUGCGUAGAUAUAUGGAAGAACACCAGUGGCGAAGGCGGCUACCUGGUCUGCAACUGACGCUGAGACUCGAAAGCAUGGGUAGCGAACAGGAUUAGAUACCCUGGUAGUCCAUGCCGUAAACGAUGAGUGCUAGGUGUUGGGAGGGUUUCCGCCCUUCAGUGCCGGAGCUAACGCAUUAAGCACUCCGCCUGGGGAGUACGACCGCAAGGUUGAAACUCAAAGGAAUUGACGGGGGCCCGCACAAGCGGUGGAGCAUGUGGUUUAAUUCGAAGCUACGCGAAGAACCUUACCAGGUCUUGACAUCUUGCGCCAACCCUAG